AUAGGUCAGCAUGGCCAGAGUUUCAGAAAACAAAGAUAUUUCGUAAGAAGAGGAAUUAAUUCCAGCUCACAGUGAGAACAUUACAAGAGAAGCAAGUUCAUUGUGAAGGGCAAUCAGAUAGAUCCUGACCUCCUGAAUUUGGAAGAAGCCAGAAUGUCAUUGUAAGUGGUCAAGUCGCAAGGAAGGAAAUGGACUUCAGAAAAGACUGCCAGCCAUAAAAAGCACACGAGAUGAAACCUGCAGGUUUAGUGGUAAUGUGGUCACUAGGAGAGACACAAACUCCUACCAAAGUAGAUUUAUUAUAG
This 305-nucleotide long non-coding RNA is filed under the name Gallus gallus (chicken). RNAcentral describes it as "long non-coding RNA NONGGAT001298". Lineage: Eukaryota; Metazoa; Chordata; Aves; Galliformes; Phasianidae. The record is from RNAcentral.